AUUGAACGCUGGCGGCAGGCCUAACACAUGCAAGUCGAACGGUAACAGGAAGAAGCUUGCUUCUUUGCUGACGAGUGGCGGACGGGUGUGUAAUGUCUGUGAAACUGCCUGAUGGAGGGGGAUAACUACUGGAAACGGUAGCUAAUACCGCAUAACGUCGCAAGCCCAAAGAGGGGGACCUUCGGGCCUCUUGCCUUCGGCUGUGCCCAGAUGGGAUUAGCUAGUAGGUGGGGUAACGGCUCACCUAGGCGACGAUCCCUAGCUGGUCUGAGAGGAUGACCAGCCACACUGGAACUGAGACACGGUCCAGACUCCUACGGGAGGCAGCAGUGGGGAAUAUUGCACAAUGGGCGCAAGCCUGAUGCAGCCAUGCCGCGUGUAUGAAGAAGGCCUUCGGGUUGUAAAGUACUUUCAGCGGGGAGGAAGGGAGUAAAGUUAAUACCUUUACUUAUUGACGUUACCCGCAGAAGAAGCACCGGCUAACUCCGUG
Molecule: ribosomal RNA, 490 nt
Filed under: uncultured bacterium
Lineage: Bacteria
Description: partial 16S ribosomal RNA
Rfam family: Bacterial small subunit ribosomal RNA
Source: RNAcentral